UAGGGAAUCUUCCGCAAUGGACGCAAGUCUGACGGAGCAACGCCGCGUGAGUGAAGAAGGAUUUCGGUUCGUAAAACUCUGUUGUUAGAGAAGAACAGCGCAUAGAGUAACUGUUAUGCGUGUGACGGUAUCUAACCAGAAAGCCACGGCUAACUACGUGCCAGCAGCCGCGGUAAUACGUAGGUGGCAAGCGUUAUCCGGAAUUAUUGGGCGUAAAGCGCGCGUAGGCGGUUUUUUAAGUCUGAUGUGAAAGCCCACGGCUCAACCGUAGAGGGUCAUUGGAAACUGGAAAACUUGAGUGCAGAAGAGGAAAGUGGAAUUCCAUGUGUAGCGGUGAAAUGCGCAGAGAUAUGGAGGAACACCAGUGGCGAAGGCGACUUUCUGGUCUGUAACUGACGCUGAUGUGCGAAAGCGUGGGGAUCAAACAGG
This 429-nucleotide ribosomal RNA is filed under the name Bacteroidota bacterium. RNAcentral's name for it is "Bacteroidetes bacterium partial 16S ribosomal RNA". It matches the Rfam family "Bacterial small subunit ribosomal RNA", at positions 355 to 776 of the family's 1533-position model. The record is from RNAcentral. Lineage: Bacteria; Pseudomonadati; Bacteroidota.